CAAUAGCGUAUAUUAACGUUGUUGCAGUUAAAAAGCUCGUAGUUGGAUUUCUGGAGGGAGCGUCGGCCCGUAUUUACGAGUGCGUGACGUCUCUGUCCAUCCUUGCGGGAAGGCACGGCAUUGAUUUGUUGUGUCGGAUCGCAUCAUUUACUGUGAAAAAAUUAGAGUGUUCAAAGCAGGCUUUCGCUUGAAUACAUUAGCAUGGAAUAAUAAGAUAGGACUCUGGUGCUAUUUUGUUGGUUGAGCCUAAAGUAAUGAUUAAUAGGGAUAGUUGGGGGCACCUGUAUUGCGUUGUCAGAGGUGAAAUUCUUGGAUUUACGCAAGACAAACAGCUGCGAAAGCGUCUGCCAAGGAUGUUUUCAUUAA
This 366-nucleotide ribosomal RNA is filed under the name uncultured eukaryote. RNAcentral describes it as "partial 18S ribosomal RNA". It matches the Rfam family "Eukaryotic small subunit ribosomal RNA", at positions 592 to 976 of the family's 1831-position model. The record is from RNAcentral.